GCUAGUGUAAGGAACUUGCUAUGAUACACUGCCGGUGUAAGGAAUUUGCAGUGAUACACUGAAUCUCCACCGGCAGAACAAAGAAGGGCCAAUCUGCGGAGAUCAUACAGCCUGAGACAUAAAAAUGGAAGGAACUCGUUAGGGCGGAAACAUUAAUCCAAAAAAAACUUCAUCUGCACUGACCAUGCAAGACGUAAACUGAAACAGCCAGACUGUUUCAACAUUCUAGAGAAUCAGAAAAAGCUCUAAGAUUAUGACACUAAACAAACGACGGCCAAUAGAUUCUCACCACCCUUGCAAACAAUUGGACAAAUACUUUGUCUCCAUUGAUUGAUCACAUUUUGCUGCCCUCUCAUCUAUCAAAUUGAAAAUUCCAAAAGUCACAAUCAAGAAAAAACAGUAUCCAUUUGGGAACUUGAAUCCAGAACCGGGGAAACAGAGGAAGGAGUCAUCACACCAGAGAUUCGUCAUGGAAUGGCUCUUUCUACCGUCGCCUGUCGUUCUACACAAACUCAUGGACCGUGAAUUAACUACUGAACCAACUUCAAAAGUCUAGAAAUUAAGGGAGGAGGGAGGAGGAAGACCACACCGUCAAGAAGGUUGCUGC
Molecule: long non-coding RNA, 607 nt
Filed under: Triticum aestivum (bread wheat)
Lineage: Eukaryota; Viridiplantae; Streptophyta; Magnoliopsida; Poales; Poaceae
Description: long non-coding RNA (TAES_LNC023957)
Source: RNAcentral